This 75-nucleotide transfer RNA is filed under the name Curtobacterium sp. MCSS17_016. Its description in RNAcentral is "tRNA-Cys". It matches the Rfam family "tRNA". From Rfam's summary of the family: Transfer RNA (tRNA) molecules are approximately 80 nucleotides in length. Their secondary structure includes four short double-helical elements and three loops (D, anti-codon, and T loops). Lineage: Bacteria; Bacillati; Actinomycetota; Actinomycetes; Micrococcales; Microbacteriaceae. The record is from RNAcentral.
GCCGGUUUGGCCGAACGGGUCAGGCGCCUGGCUGCAACCCAGGAGAAGCGGGUUCGACCCCCGCAACCGGCUCCA